RNAcentral lists this long non-coding RNA (819 nucleotides) under Fragaria vesca (wild strawberry). Its description in RNAcentral is "long non-coding RNA (FVES_LNC003053)". Lineage: Eukaryota; Viridiplantae; Streptophyta; Magnoliopsida; Rosales; Rosaceae. The record is from RNAcentral.
AAUAGGGAGGGCCGAGCUAACAAGAACUUCACUCAGAAAUCAAUCACCUCUUGCAUACCUUCCUACAAACUCUAAGCAACCAAGAGAAAUCGAGAUGGCAUUCUCAAAGACUUUUCUUCUUGUCGCCCUUGCCUUUGCUGUUCUCCUCAUCUCUGCUGAGGUCUCGGCUCACCGUGACCUAGCUGAGACUACCACUGCUACUCGUGAGUUUCAAACUUUCUUAAUCAUUCAACCAGGAUUGAAUUACAUUCUAUAAUUUGACAUUUUGACUGUAUCAUAUGUGUUUCUUUGCUUCGACUUUAACGUAUAGAUUUUUUCGAGUGUAGAGAAAGCCAACACUGAUGGCUACCACGGACACGACCAUGGAUGGCACGGUGGACACGGAGGACAUGGUGGACACGGAGGACAUGGUGGUCAUCACGGAGGGCAUGGACCUCAUGAUGUUGAGACUGAGAACUAGAUGAUGAAGAUGAUAACCCUUUGUACGUAUGCAUGCAGUGGUGUACAUUGCAGGCGUACGUAGCUGAUGCAAAGGGUUUUAAUAUGGAAGCAGUAAUAGCUUGCUUGGUUAUGAAUAAUAAGUGUGUAUUUGGUUGAGCAGUCCACAAAACUCUCAAUCGAUCAUAUCUUUGUAAUUCGAUCCUCGGAUCUCUAUGUCAUGAACUAUCUACGAUCCACACUUUAUAUUAGCUGAUCAAUUUAUGCUUGUCUAUAUCACUAUAUGCAUGACUAUAUAUCUCUAUAUCAGAUCCAGAUUGGGAAAACGAUAAAAUGUUUAGAGCAUGCACACCUAAUAACAGUUUCAAUAGAAUAUAUCGC